Molecule: long non-coding RNA, 284 nt
Organism: Cygnus atratus (black swan)
Lineage: Eukaryota; Metazoa; Chordata; Aves; Anseriformes; Anatidae
Exons: 4
Source: RefSeq, a predicted model, not a curated record
UAAAGCUUAAACGCAGUGUACAACCUGGGACGUCACACCCAGAGCUGCCUCUGGCAAGAGGUGUUGUAGCUGGCUUAAGAGGGUAGAUGGAAGCAUCUGUCUUGGGGUGUCUCGCAGAGGUUCAGAGGAGCAAACUGCAUUCUGAAGAGCUGCGUGCCAUGGCAGGCUUUCCACACAAGUGGCUGAGGACUUGAGAUGAGACCAGAGAGUGACAAGGAACAGCACGUGCAGGGAUGGUUUCCAAGCGCUGCGGUUGCUUUCUCUUCUGUUCAUCAGGUGCCACA